RNAcentral lists this ribosomal RNA (1390 nucleotides) under uncultured sediment bacterium. RNAcentral describes it as "bacterial SSU rRNA". It matches the Rfam family "Bacterial small subunit ribosomal RNA". The record is from RNAcentral.
AGAGUUUGAUCCUGGCUCAGGACGAACGCUGGCGGCGUGCCUAAUACAUGCAAGUCGAGCGGACCUUUCGGGGUCAGCGGCGGACGGGUGAGUAACACGUGGGCAAUCUGCCCGAUACUCUGGGAUAACGCUUGGAAACGAGUGCUAAUACCGGAUGGUCUUCUUGGCCGCAUGGCCGAGAAGGAAAAGACGCGUUCGCGUCGGUGUCGGAUGAGCCCGCGGUGCAUUAGCUAGUUGGUGAGGUAACGGCCCACCAAGGCGACGAUGCGUAGCCGACCUGAGAGGGUGACCGGCCACACUGGGACUGAGACACGGCCCAGACUCCUACGGGAGGCAGCAGUAGGGAAUCUUCCACAAUGGGCGAAAGCCUGAUGGAGCAACGCCGCGUGAGUGACGAAGGCCUUCGGGUUGUAAAGCUCUGUCAUUCGGGACGAACCGGAGUCUGAGGAAAUGCAGACUCUCUGACGGUACCGGAGGAGGAAGCCCCGGCUAACUACGUGCCAGCAGCCGCGGUAAUACGUAGGGGGCAAGCGUUGUCCGGAUUCACUGGGGCGUAAAGCGCGCGCAGGCGGUGACGUAAGUCUGAGGUGAAAACCCGAAGCUCAACUUCGGGACUGCCUUGGAUACUGCGUCACUUGAGGAUAGGAGAGGCAAGGGGAAUUCCACGUGUAGCGGUGAAAUGCGUAGAGAUGUGGAGGAACACCUGUGGCGAAGGCGCCUUGCUGGCCUAUUUCUGACGCUGAGGCGCGAAAGCGUGGGGAGCAAACAGGAUUAGAUACCCUGGUAGUCCACGCUGUAAACGAUGAGUGCUAGGUGUAGGUGGGCUCAUACCCAUCUGUGCCGAAGCUAACGCAUUAAGCACUCCGCCUGGGGAGUACGGUCGCAAGACUGAAACUCAAAGGAAUUGACGGGGGCCCGCACAAGCAGUGGAGCAUGUGGUUUAAUUCGAAGCAACGCGAAGAACCUUACCAGGACUUGACAUCCCAUAGACCAGUCUAGAGAUAGACUUUCCCUUCGGGGCUGUGGUGACAGGUGGUGCAUGGUUGUCGUCAGCUCGUGUCGUGAGAUGUUGGGUUAAGUCCCGCAACGAGCGCAACCCUUACUUUGUGUUGCCAGCAUUCAGUUGGGCACUCACAAGGGACUGCCGCCGAUAAGGCGGAGGAAGGUGGGGAUGACGUCAAAUCAUCAUGCCCCUUAUGUCCUGGGCUACACACGUGCUACAAUGGGCGGUACAACGGGAUGCGAAGCCGCGAGGUGGAGCCAAACCCUGAAAACCGUUCGUAGUUCGGAUUGUAGGCUGCAACUCGCCUACAUGAAGCCGGAAUUGCUAGUAAUCGCGGAUCAGCAUGCCGCGGUGAAUCCGUUCCCGGGCCUUGCACACACCGCCCGU